Molecule: ribosomal RNA, 402 nt
Filed under: uncultured bacterium
Lineage: Bacteria
Description: bacterial SSU rRNA
Rfam family: Bacterial small subunit ribosomal RNA
Source: RNAcentral
GGAAUAUUGGGCAAUGGGCGAAAGCCUGACCCAGCGACGCCGCGUGAGGGAAGAAGGUCUUCGGAUUGUAAACCUCUUUCAGCAGGGAAGAAGGAAGUGACGGUACCUGCAGAAGAAGCCACGGCUAACUACGUGCCAGCAGCCGCGGUAAUACGUAGGUGGCAAGCGUUAUCCGGAAUUAUUGGGUGUAAAGGGUGUGUAGGCGGGACUUUAAGUCAGACGUGAAAAUCAAGGGCUCAACCCUUGACCUGCGUUUGAAACUGGAGUUCUUGAGAGUGGGAGAGGUAAACGGAAUUCCUGGUGUAGCGGUGAAAUGCGUAGAUAUCAGGAGGAACACCGGUGGCGAAGGCGGUUUACUGGACCACAACUGACGCUGAGACACGAAAGCGUGGGGAGCAAACA